This 48-nucleotide non-coding RNA is filed under the name Trichobilharzia regenti. Lineage: Eukaryota; Metazoa; Platyhelminthes; Trematoda; Strigeidida; Schistosomatidae. The record is from RNAcentral.
AUCCAGUGGCUGAUGAGUCCCAAAUAGGAUGAAAUGCGCAUCCUGGAU